GGGUUGUGAGGUUAAGCGACUAAGCGUACACGGUGGAUGCCCUGGCAGUCAGAGGCGAUGAAGGACGUGCUAAUCUGCGAUAAGCGUCGGUAAGGUGAUAUGAACCGUUAUAACCGGCGAUUUCCGAAUGGGGAAACCCAGUGUGUUUCGACACACUAUCAUUAACUGAAUCCAUAGGUUAAUGAGGCGAACCGGGGGAACUGAAACAUCUAAGUACCCCGAGGAAAAGAAAUCAACCGAGAUUCCCCCAGUAGCGGCGAGCGAACGGGGAGGAGCCCAGAGCCUGAAUCAGUGUGUGUGUUAGUGGAAGCGUAUGGAAAGGCGCGCGAUACA
This 333-nucleotide ribosomal RNA is filed under the name Escherichia coli. RNAcentral describes it as "partial 23S ribosomal RNA". It matches the Rfam family "Bacterial large subunit ribosomal RNA", at positions 1 to 361 of the family's 2925-position model. The record is from RNAcentral. Lineage: Bacteria; Pseudomonadati; Pseudomonadota; Gammaproteobacteria; Enterobacterales; Enterobacteriaceae.